Molecule: ribosomal RNA, 460 nt
Filed under: uncultured bacterium
Lineage: Bacteria
Description: partial 16S ribosomal RNA
Rfam family: Bacterial small subunit ribosomal RNA
Source: RNAcentral
CCUACGGGGGGCUGCAGUGAGGAAUAUUGGUCAAUGGGCGCGAGCCUGAACCAGCCAAGUCGCGUGAAGGAUGACUGCCCUACGGGUUGUAAACUUCUUUUAUAAGGGAGUAAAGUGUGGCACGUGUGCCUUUUUGUAUGUACUCUAUGAAUAAGGAUCGGCUAACUCCGUGCCAGCAGCCGCGGUAAUACGGAGGAUCCGCGCGUUAUCCGGAUUUCUUGGGUUUAAAGGGCGUGUAGCCGGGUAGACAUGUCAGAUGUGAAAUCCUGCGGCUUAACCGCAGAACUGCAUUUGAAACUGUUGAUCUUGAGUACUGGAGAGGCAGACGGAAUGCCUAGUGUAGCGGUGAAAUGCGUAGAUAUUAGGAGGAACACCAGUGGCGAAGGCGGUCUGCUGGACAGCAACUGACGGUGAGGCGCGAAAGCGUGGGGAGCAAACAGGAUUAGAUACCCUGGUAGUC